RNAcentral lists this ribosomal RNA (274 nucleotides) under uncultured Staphylococcus sp. Its description in RNAcentral is "partial 16S ribosomal RNA". It matches the Rfam family "Bacterial small subunit ribosomal RNA", at positions 89 to 354 of the family's 1533-position model. Lineage: Bacteria; Bacillati; Bacillota; Bacilli; Caryophanales; Staphylococcaceae. The record is from RNAcentral.
ACGUUAGCGGCGGACGGGUGAGUAACACGUGGGUAACCUACCUAUAAGACUGGGAUAACUCCGGGAAAACCGGGGCUAAUACCGGAUAAUACAUGAAACCGCAUGGUUUCAUGAUGAAAGACGGUUUUGCUGUCACUUAUAGAUGGACCCGCGGCGUAUUAGCUAGUUGGUAAGGUAACGGCUUACCAAGGCAACGAUACGUAGCCGACCUGAGAGGGUGAUCGGCCACACUGGAACUGAGACACGGUCCAGACUCCUACGGGAGGCAGCAGGC